GGAGAGGUGGCUGAGCGGCUUAAAGCGCUCCCCUGCUAAGGGAGUAUACCUCCAACGAGGUAUCGAGGGUUCGAAUCCCUCCCUCUCCG
This 89-nucleotide transfer RNA is filed under the name Gracilimonas mengyeensis. It matches the Rfam family "tRNA". Rfam says of the family: Transfer RNA (tRNA) molecules are approximately 80 nucleotides in length. Their secondary structure includes four short double-helical elements and three loops (D, anti-codon, and T loops). The record is from Rfam by way of RNAcentral. Lineage: Bacteria; Pseudomonadati; Balneolota; Balneolia; Balneolales; Balneolaceae.